GACGAACGCUGGCGGCGUGCUUAACACAUGCAAGUCGAACGGAAAGGCCCUGCUUUUGUGGGCUGCUCGAGUGGCGAACGGGUGAGUAACACGUGAGUAACCUGCCCUUGACUUUGGGAUAACUUCAGGAAACUGGGGCUAAUACCGGAUAGGAGCUCCUGCUGCAUGGUGGGGGUUGGAAAGUUUCGCUGGUUGGGGAUGGAAUGGCGGCUUAUCGGCUUGUUGGUUGGGUAGUGGCUUACCAAGGCUUUGACGGGUAGCCGGCCUGAGAGGGGGACCGGCCAAAAUAGACCUGAGAUACGGCCCAGACUCGAACGGUAGGCAGCGGUGGGGAAUAGUACACAAGGGGCGGAAGCCUGAUGCGACAACGCCGCGUGCGGGAUGACGUGCUUCGGGUAGUGAACCGCAGUCGCCUUAGACGAAGCGUGAGUGACGGUAACGGGAAAAGAAGCACCGGCUAACUACGUG
RNAcentral lists this ribosomal RNA (468 nucleotides) under uncultured bacterium. Its description in RNAcentral is "partial 16S ribosomal RNA". It matches the Rfam family "Bacterial small subunit ribosomal RNA", at positions 28 to 507 of the family's 1533-position model. The record is from RNAcentral.